Molecule: ribosomal RNA, 552 nt
Filed under: uncultured bacterium
Lineage: Bacteria
Description: partial 16S ribosomal RNA
Rfam family: Bacterial small subunit ribosomal RNA
Source: RNAcentral
UAGGGAAUCUUCCACAAUGGACGCAAGGUCUGAUGGAGCAACGCCGCGUGAGUGAAGAAGGUUUUCGGACCGUAAAGCUCUGUUGUUGGUGAAGAAGGAUAGAGGUAGUAACUGGCCUUUAUUUGACGGUAAUCAACCAGAAAGUCACGGCUAACUACGUGCCAGCAGCCGCGGUAAUCGUAGGUGGCAAGCGUUGUCCGGAUUUAUUGGGCGUAAAGCGAGCGCAGGCGGAAGAAUAAGUCUGAUGUGAAAGCCCUCGGCUUAACCGAGGAAUUGCAUCGGAAACUGUUUUCUUGAGUGCAGAAGAGGAGAGUAGAACUCCAUGUGUAGCGGUGGAAUGCGUAGAUAUAUGGAAGAAUACCAGUGGCGAAGGCGGCUCUCUGGUCUGCAACUGACGCUGAGGCUCGAAAGCAUGGGUAGCGAACAGGAUUAGAUACCCUGGUAGUCCAUGCCGUAAACGAUGAGUGCUAAGUGUUGGGAGGCUUCCGCCUCUCAGUGCUGCAGCUAACGCAUUAAGCACUCCGCCUGGGGGAGUACGACCGCAAGGUUGAA